GAGGAUGAUCAGUCACACUGGAACUGAGACACGGUCCAGACUCCUACGGGAGGCAGCAGUGGGGAAUAUUGGACAAUGGGCGAAAGCCUGAUCCAGCCAUGCCGCGUGUGUGAAGAAGGUCUUCGGAUUGUAAAGCACUUUAAGUUGGGAGGAAGGGUAGUAGCCUAAUACGUUGCUACUUUGACGUUACCGACAGAAUAAGCACCGGCUAACUUCGUGCCAGCAGCCGCGGUAAUACGAAGGGUGCAAGCGUUAAUCGGAAUUACUGGGCGUAAAGCGCGCGUAGGUGGUUCAGUAAGUUGGAAGUGAAAUCCCCGGGCUCAACCUGGGAACUGCUUUCAAAACUGCUGAGCUAGAGUACGGUAGAGGGUGGUGGAAUUUCCUGUGUAGCGGUGAAAUGCGUAGAUAUAGGAAGGAACACCAGUGGCGAAGGCGACCACCUGGACUGAUACUGACACUGAGGUGCGAAAGCGUGGGGAGCAAACAGGAUUAGAUACCC
Molecule: ribosomal RNA, 499 nt
Filed under: Pseudomonas sp. AO2_18
Lineage: Bacteria; Pseudomonadati; Pseudomonadota; Gammaproteobacteria; Pseudomonadales; Pseudomonadaceae
Description: bacterial SSU rRNA
Rfam family: Bacterial small subunit ribosomal RNA
Source: RNAcentral